GAUGAACGCUGGCGGCGUGCCUAAUACAUGCAAGUCGAGCGAACGGACGAGAAGCUUGCUUCUCUGAUGUUAGCGGCGGACGGGUGAGUAACACGUGGAUAACCUACCUAUAAGACUGGGAUAACUUCGGGAAACCGGAGCUAAUACCGGAUAAUAUUUUGAACCGCAUGGUUCAAAAGUGAAAGACGGUCUUGCUGUCACUUAUAGAUGGAUCCGCGCUGCAUUAGCUAGUUGGUAAGGUAACGGCUUACCAAGGCAACGAUGCAUAGCCGACCUGAGAGGGUGAUCGGCCACACUGGAACUGAGACACGGUCCAGACUCCUACGGGAGGCAGCAGUAGGGAAUCUUCCGCAAUGGGCGAAAGCCUGACGGAGCAACGCCGCGUGAGUGAUGAAGGUCUUCGGAUUGUAAAACUCUGUUAUUAGGGAAGAACAUAUGUGUAAGUAACUGUGCACAUCUUGACGGUACCUAAUCAGAAAGCCACGGCUAACUACGCGCCAGCAGCCGCGGUAAUACGUAGGUGGCAAGCGUUAUCCGGAAUUAUUGGGCGUAAAGCGCGCGUAGGCGGUUUUUUAAGUCUGAUGUGAAAGCCCACGGCUCAACCGUGGAGGGUCAUUGGAAACUGGAAAACUUGAGUGCAGAAGAGGAAAGUGGAAUUCCAUGUGUAGCGGUGAAAUGCGCAGAGAUAUGGAGGAACACCAGUGGCGAAGGCGACUUUCUGGUCUGUAACUGACGCUGAUGUGCGAAAGCGUGGGGAUCAAACAGGAUUAGAUACCCUGGUAGUCCACGCCGUAAACGAUGAGUGCUAAGUGUUAGGGGGUUUCCGCCCCUUAGUGCUGCAGCUAACGCAUUAAGCACUCCGCCUGGGGAGUACGACCGCAAGGUUGAAACUCAAAGGAAUUGACGGGGACCCGCACAAGCGGUGGAGCAUGUGGUUUAAUUCGAAGCAACGCGAAGAACCUUACCAAAUCUUGACAUCCUUUGACAACUCUAGAGAUAGAGCCUUCCCCUUCGGGGGACAAAGUGACAGGUGGUGCAUGGUUGUCGUCAGCUCGUGUCGUGAGAUGUUGGGUUAAGUCCCGCAACGAGCGCAACCCUUAAGCUUAGUUGCCAUCAUUAAGUUGGGCACUCUAAGUUGACUGCCGGUGACAAACCGGAGGAAGGUGGGGAUGACGUCAAAUCAUCAUGCCCCUUAUGAUUUGGGCUACACACGUGCUACAAUGGACAAUACAAAGGGCAGCGAAACCGCGAGGUCAAGCAAAUCCCAUAAAGUUGUUCUCAGUUCGGAUUGUAGUCUGCAACUCGACUACAUGAAGCUGGAAUCGCUAGUAAUCGUAGAUCAGCAUGCUACGGUGAAUACGUUCCCGGGUCU
RNAcentral lists this ribosomal RNA (1372 nucleotides) under uncultured bacterium. Its description in RNAcentral is "bacterial SSU rRNA". It matches the Rfam family "Bacterial small subunit ribosomal RNA", at positions 28 to 1381 of the family's 1533-position model. The record is from RNAcentral.